UUCCGGUUGAUCCUGCCAGAGGCUACUGCUAUCGGGGUCCGACUAAGCCAUGCGAGUUGAGAGGGGUAAGCCCUCGGCAUAUUGCUCAGUAACACGCGGAUAACCUGCCCUUGGGUUUGGGAUAACCCCGGGAAACUGGGACUAAUACCGGAUAGAUCAAAGAAACUGGAAUGUUCUCUGAUCGAAAGCUCCGGCGCCCAAGGAUGGGUCUGCGGCCUAUCAGGUAGUAGUGGGUGUAACGUACCUACUAGCCUACGACGGGUAAGGGUUGUGAGAGCAAGAGCCCUGAGAUGGAUUCUGAGACAUGAAUCCAGGCCCUACGGGGUGCAGCAGGCGCGAAAACUUUACACUGCGGGAAACCGCGAUAAGGGGACCCCGAGUGCCAGCACCUAGUGCUGGCUGUCCAGCUGUUCAAAUAACAGUUGUUAGCAAGGGCCGGGCAAGACCGGUGCCAGCCGCCGCGGUAACACCGGCGGCCCGAGUGGUAGCCGUUAUUAUUGGGUUUAAAGGGUCCGUAACCGGCCUAUUAAGUCUCUUGGGAAAUCUGGCGACUCAAUCGUCAGGCGUUCAAGAGAUACUGGUAGGCUUGGGACCGGGAGAGGUGGGAGGUACUCCAGGGGUAGGGGUGAAAUCUCGUAAUCCUUGGGGGACCACCGAUGGCGAAGGCAUCCCACCAGAACGGGUCCGACGGUGAGGGACGAAAGCUGGGGGCACGAACCGGAUUAGAUACCCGGGUAGUCCCAGCCGUAAACGAUGCUCGCUAGGUGUCAGGUGCGGUGCGACCGCAUCUGGUGCCGCAGUGAAAACUUGAAGCGAGUCACCUGGGAAGUACAGUCGCAAGGCUGAAACUUAAAGGAAUUGGCGGGGGAGCACUACAACGGGUGGAGCCUGCGGUUCAAUUGGAUUCAACGCCGGA
RNAcentral lists this ribosomal RNA (916 nucleotides) under archaeon enrichment culture clone EAr-c25. RNAcentral describes it as "bacterial SSU rRNA". It matches the Rfam family "Archaeal small subunit ribosomal RNA", at positions 1 to 922 of the family's 1478-position model. The record is from RNAcentral.